RNAcentral lists this ribosomal RNA (636 nucleotides) under uncultured Chroococcales cyanobacterium. Its description in RNAcentral is "bacterial SSU rRNA". It matches the Rfam family "Bacterial small subunit ribosomal RNA", at positions 126 to 795 of the family's 1533-position model. Lineage: Bacteria; Bacillati; Cyanobacteriota; Cyanophyceae; Chroococcales. The record is from RNAcentral.
CUACCUACAGGACGGGGACAACAGUUGGAAACGACUGCUAAUACCCGAUGAGCCGCAAGGUAAAAGAUUUAUCGCCUGAAGCAGGGCUCGCGUCUGAUUAGCUAGUUGGUGGGGUAAAAGCCUACCAAGGCGACGAUCAGUAGCUGGUCUGAGAGGAUGAGCAGCCACACUGGGACUGAGACACGGCCCAGACUCCUACGGGAGGCAGCAGUGGGGAAUUUUCCGCAAUGGGCGCAAGCCUGACGGAGCAAUACCGCGUGAGGGAGGAAGGCCCUUGGGUUGUAAACCUCUUUUGUUCGGGAAGAAGCAAUGACGGUACCGAACGAAUAAGCAUCGGCUAACUCCGUGCCAGCAGCCGCGGUAAUACGGAGGAUGCAAGCGUUAUCCGGAAUCAUUGGGCGUAAAGCGUCCGCAGGUGGUGAUUCAAGUCUGCGGUCAAAGACAGAAGCUCAACUUCUGAAAGGCCGUGGAAACUGAAACACUAGAGUCCGGUAGGGGUAGAGGGAAUUCCCAGUGUAGCGGUGAAAUGCGUAGAGAUUGGGAAGAACAUCGGUGGCGAAAGCGCUCUACUGGGCCGAGACUGACACUCGGGGACGAAAGCUAGGGUAGCGAAAGGGAUUAGAUACCCCUGUAGUC